This 630-nucleotide long non-coding RNA is filed under the name Lathyrus oleraceus (garden pea). Its description in RNAcentral is "Pisum sativum (pea) long non-coding RNA (PSAT_LNC031600)". Lineage: Eukaryota; Viridiplantae; Streptophyta; Magnoliopsida; Fabales; Fabaceae. The record is from RNAcentral.
CAAUUUACCUACAAGAAGACCAACAACCAGGUUGUACAAAAAAAAAAACAAGUAACGCCAUACCAAUUGGAAAUAAUCCAUGACAGAAUGAAAUUCAAAUCCUUGUACACCAGGGGAUCCAAGUCAAAACUUGCAAUUAUUUUGUAGCAUGAGUGCCAGAUUGUAUUGUCUUUCUUGAAUCAGUUGAAGCAUACCACCUGCAACAGUUUGAGUAGGGCAUCAAUUACAGGGCUUGCCAAUGUUGUAUCAUACAACAGAACCAUCAUGAACCUGCAUCCACAAGCUCAUGUUAAGUUACCAUCCAAUUCUAGCCUGGCAGGAGGUUUCAACAUAGCUCAUGGCAAGCAUAAUCAAUCUACAGACUAAACUGAUGCGACAAUCAUAAGCCAAAUGCAGGUAUGCCUUUUUUUCAAUAAGUCAGAAACUACACCAAACUGUAAUAGUAGCCAAUUUUGACAUAGUCAUGAGCUGAACCUGCAACAUGUGUAAAAUAGGAGCCAUUGCCAAACAAACUUGCAUCAAGCCACCAAAGCCUGUAAUCAAGCCAUGCCAGCACCAGGUUUUACAAACCAGCACAGUGAACUUGCAAUGCUUGAAACUUACUUGUAUUGCAGCAAUGCACAAUGGUCC